RNAcentral lists this ribosomal RNA (253 nucleotides) under uncultured bacterium. RNAcentral's name for it is "partial 16S ribosomal RNA". It matches the Rfam family "Bacterial small subunit ribosomal RNA", at positions 524 to 776 of the family's 1533-position model. The record is from RNAcentral.
UACGGAGGGAGCUAGCGUUAUUCGGAAUUACUGGGCGUAAAGCGCGCGUAGGCGGCUUUGUAAGUUAGAGGUGAAAGCCCGGGGCUCAACCCCGGAAUUGCCUUUAAGACUGCAUCGCUAGAAUCGUGGAGAGGUAAGUGGAAUUCCGAGUGUAGAGGUGAAAUUCGUAGAUAUUCGGAAGAACACCAGUGGCGAAGGCGACUUACUGGACACGUAUUGACGCUGAGGUGCGAAAGCGUGGGGAGCAAACAGG